AUUCGCAGAGCAGUUGCCUUAUGUUUUUCUUAUUGAGAUUGCUAUAUGCAUGUCGAUUUCUCAUGCUAUGCGUUGAUCUUUGCAUACUGGAACAAUUGUUGAUGUUUGGAUUGCUCGGUAUUCAUGUCAAUCUAUAUAAGUCAAAAAUUGAUAUUUGAUUCCGGAUCUUUUGUUGCAUUUUCAAUUUGAGAAUUACUGCUGAGGCAUUCUUGGUCUAUGUAGUCCUUUGCGAGCUUAUGCUUAAGCUCCAUAUACUUUACCUUAUGCAAGUUCUAAUGAUGCUGUUUGUGCUUACUUAUGUCAAACAUUGAAUUUCCUUCUUCUCCGUCGGAGUUUGCAUAUACAUAUUUGACCUGUGCAUUCUGCCACAUAUGUUCCUUGGCCUGUGAUCUAAUUGGUGAGGCGUUUGGUCGAUUGACGGUUAUUGCCCAGGCAUUAGUUA
RNAcentral lists this unclassified non-coding RNA (442 nucleotides) under Hevea brasiliensis (rubber tree). Lineage: Eukaryota; Viridiplantae; Streptophyta; Magnoliopsida; Malpighiales; Euphorbiaceae. The record is from RNAcentral.